GGGGAUUUAGCUCAGUGGUAAAGCGCUUGCCUAGCAAGCGCAAGGCCCUGGGUUCGGUUCCCAGCUCCA
RNAcentral lists this transfer RNA (69 nucleotides) under Rattus norvegicus (Norway rat). It matches the Rfam family "tRNA". From Rfam's summary of the family: Transfer RNA (tRNA) molecules are approximately 80 nucleotides in length. Their secondary structure includes four short double-helical elements and three loops (D, anti-codon, and T loops). The record is from Rfam by way of RNAcentral. Lineage: Eukaryota; Metazoa; Chordata; Mammalia; Rodentia; Muridae.